This 298-nucleotide ribosomal RNA is filed under the name uncultured Pseudomonas sp. RNAcentral's name for it is "partial 16S ribosomal RNA". It matches the Rfam family "Bacterial small subunit ribosomal RNA", at positions 500 to 795 of the family's 1533-position model. Lineage: Bacteria; Pseudomonadati; Pseudomonadota; Gammaproteobacteria; Pseudomonadales; Pseudomonadaceae. The record is from RNAcentral.
CCUACGGGAGGCAGCAGCCGCGGUAAUACAGAGGGUGCAAGCGUUAAUCGGAAUUACUGGGCGUAAAGCGCGCGUAGGUGGUUUGUUAAGUUGGAUGUGAAAUCCCCGGGCUCAACCUGGGAACUGCAUUCAAAACUGACUGACUAGAGUAUGGUAGAGGGUGGUGGAAUUUCCUGUGUAGCGGUGAAAUGCGUAGAUAUAGGAAGGAACACCAGUGGCGAAGGCGACCACCUGGACUAAUACUGACACUGAGGUGCGAAAGCGUGGGGAGCAAACAGGAUUAGAUACCCUUGUAGUC